CCUACGGGGGGCAGCAGUGGGGAAUAUUGCACAAUGGGGGAAACCCUGAUGCAGCGACGCCGCGUGAGUGAAGAAGUAUUUCGGUACGUAAAGCUCUAUCAGCAGGGAAGAAAAUGACGGUACCUGACUAAGAAGCCCCGGCUAACUACGUGCCAGCAGCCGCGGUAAUACGUAGGGGGCAAGCGUUAUCCGGAUUUACUGGGUGUAAAGGGAGCGUAGACGGCAGCGCAAGUCUGGAGUGAAAUCCCAUGGCUUAACCAUGGAACUGCUUUGGAAACUGUGCAGCUAGAGUGCAGGAGAGGUAAGCGGAAUUCCUAGGGUAGCGGUGAAAUGCGUAGAUAUUAGGAGGAACACCAGUGGCGAAGGCGGCUUACUGGACUGUAACUGACGUUGAGGCUCGAAAGCGUGGGGAGCAAACAGGAUUAGAUACCCGGGUAGUC
This 440-nucleotide ribosomal RNA is filed under the name uncultured bacterium. Its description in RNAcentral is "partial 16S ribosomal RNA". It matches the Rfam family "Bacterial small subunit ribosomal RNA", at positions 338 to 795 of the family's 1533-position model. The record is from RNAcentral.